GGCGCAGUGGAAGCGUGCUGGGCCCAUAACCCAGAGGCCGAUGGAUCGAAACCAUC
Molecule: transfer RNA, 56 nt
Filed under: Strigamia maritima
Lineage: Eukaryota; Metazoa; Arthropoda; Chilopoda; Geophilomorpha; Linotaeniidae
Rfam family: tRNA
About the family: Transfer RNA (tRNA) molecules are approximately 80 nucleotides in length. Their secondary structure includes four short double-helical elements and three loops (D, anti-codon, and T loops).
Source: Rfam by way of RNAcentral